GACGAACGCUGGCGGCGUGCUUAACACAUGCAAGUCGAACGGAAAGGCCCUGCUUUUGUGGGGUGCUCGAGUGGCGAACGGGUGAGUAACACGUGAGUAACCUGCCCUUGUCUUUGUGAUAACUUCAGGAAACUGGGGCUAUUACCGGAUAGGAUCUCCUGCUGCAUGUUGGGCGUUGGAAAGUUUCGGCGGUUGGGGAUGUACUCGCGGCUUAUCAGCUUGUUUGUGGGGUAGUGGCUUACCAAGGCUUUGACGGGUAGCCGGCCUGAGAGGGUGACCGGCCACAUUGGGACUGAGAUACGGACCAGACUCCUACGGGAGGCAGCAGUGGGGAAUAUUGCAGAAUGGGCGGAAGCCUGAUGCAGCAACGCCGCGUGCGUGAUGACCGCCUUCGGGUUGUAAACCGCUUUCGACUGUGACGAAGCGUGAGUGACGGUAAUGGGUAAAGAAGCACCGGCUAACUACGUG
Molecule: ribosomal RNA, 468 nt
Filed under: uncultured bacterium
Lineage: Bacteria
Description: partial 16S ribosomal RNA
Rfam family: Bacterial small subunit ribosomal RNA
Source: RNAcentral